This 440-nucleotide ribosomal RNA is filed under the name Ammonia sp. T3V. RNAcentral describes it as "SSU rRNA". It matches the Rfam family "Eukaryotic small subunit ribosomal RNA", at positions 1195 to 1448 of the family's 1831-position model. Lineage: Eukaryota; Foraminifera; Rotaliida; Rotaliidae. The record is from RNAcentral.
UUGACUCACGCGGGAAUCUUACCGGGUCCGGACACACUGAGGAUUGACAGAUAUACGCUACGUUGCGCUGCCUUCGGGUGCGCACGUGGCUCAAAGAUGCUAGUUCUUUCAUGAUUAUGUGAUAGGUGGUGCAUGGCCGUUCUUAGUUCGUGGAGUGAUCUGUCUGCUUAAUUGCGUAUCAAUAAUAGAGACCUAGUAUACGCGUAUUACUCGUGUGGUAGUGACCCCCUUCUCACGGAGGCGCGUGUCGCACAUGCGGUAUACGCACUGGUCUCAGAUAGCAACGAACGUGACCGUAUUCUAUUGUUGCAGUGAAUUAUACGUGUGCUUUAUUGUACACAUUCCCACUGCUUAGUGUGCGCUGCCAGCACUUGUUGCUGCUGCGUCACACAUUAAACCAUAGAGACCGCUGUUUCUUCUUUAAACCAGAGGAAGGAUAC